Molecule: ribosomal RNA, 478 nt
Filed under: uncultured bacterium
Lineage: Bacteria
Description: partial 16S ribosomal RNA
Rfam family: Bacterial small subunit ribosomal RNA
Source: RNAcentral
GAUGAACGCUGGCGGCGUGCUUAACACAUGCAAGUCGAACGGGAAACCUUUUAAUGAAGCUUCGGCAGAUUUAGCUGGUUUCUAGUGGCGGACGGGUGAGUAACGCGUGGGUAACCUGCCUUAUACAGGGGGAUAACAGUCAGAAAUGACUGCUAAUACCGCAUAAGCGCACAGGACCGCAUGGUCCGGUGUGAAAAACUCCGGUGGUAUAAGAUGGACCCGCGUUGGAUUAGCUUGUUGGUGGGGUAACGGCUCACCAAGGCGACGAUCCAUAGCCGGCCUGAGAGGGUGAACGGCCAAAUUGGGACUGAGACACGGCCCAGACUCCUACGGGAGGCAGCAGUGGGGAAUAUUGCACAAUGGGGGAAACCCUGAUGCAGCGACGCCGCGUGAAGGAAGAAGUAUCUCGGUAUGUAAACUUCUAUCAGCAGGGAAGAUAGUGACGGUACCUGACUAAGAAGCCCCGGCUAACUACGUG